This 464-nucleotide ribosomal RNA is filed under the name uncultured bacterium. Its description in RNAcentral is "partial 16S ribosomal RNA". It matches the Rfam family "Bacterial small subunit ribosomal RNA", at positions 28 to 507 of the family's 1533-position model. The record is from RNAcentral.
GACGAACGCUGGCGGCGUGCUUAACACAUGCAAGUCGAACGGAAAGGCCCUGUCUGGGGUGCACGAGUGGCGGACGGGUGGGUAACACGCGGGUGAUCUGCCUUCCCUUUUCUGAUGAUCCUGUGAAGCUGGGUCGGCUACUGGACGGGACUACGCGCUGCCUGCUGUGUGGUGGUGGGCAUUUUCGGUGGGGGAUGGGCGCGCGGCCUAUCAGCUUGUUGGUGGGGUGGUGGCUUACCAAGGCGGCGACGGGUAGCCGGCCUGAGAGGGUGUCCGGCCACACUGGGACUGAGAUACGGCCCAGACUCCUACGGGAGGCAGCAGUGGGGAAUAUUGCACAAUGGGCGCAAGCCUGAUGCAGCGACGCCGCGUGGGGGAUGACGGCCUUCGGGUUGUAAACCCCUUUCAGCAGUGACGAAGCGUAAGUGACGGUAAGUGGAGAAGAAGCACCGGCUAACUACGUG